CUGGCUCAGGACGAACGCUGGCGGCGUGCCUAAUACAUGCAAGUCGUGCGGACCUUUUAAAA
RNAcentral lists this ribosomal RNA (62 nucleotides) under Heyndrickxia coagulans DSM 1 = ATCC 7050. RNAcentral's name for it is "Bacillus coagulans DSM 1 = ATCC 7050 16S rRNA. Bacterial SSU". The record is from RNAcentral. Lineage: Bacteria; Bacillati; Bacillota; Bacilli; Caryophanales; Bacillaceae.